UGCCCCAUAGUCUGGGAUACCACUUGGAAACAGGUGCUAAUACCGGAUAAGAAAGCGGAUCGCAUGAUCAGCUUUUAAAAGGCGGCGUAAGCUGUCGCUAUGGGAUGGCCCCGCGGUGCAUUAGCUAGUUGGUAAGGUAAAGGCUUACCAAGGCGAUGAUGCAUAGCCGAGUUGAGAGACUGAUCGGCCACAUUGGGACUGAGACACGGCCCAAACUCCUACGGGAGGCAGCAGAU
RNAcentral lists this ribosomal RNA (236 nucleotides) under uncultured Lactobacillus sp. RNAcentral's name for it is "partial 16S ribosomal RNA". It matches the Rfam family "Bacterial small subunit ribosomal RNA", at positions 127 to 354 of the family's 1533-position model. Lineage: Bacteria; Bacillati; Bacillota; Bacilli; Lactobacillales; Lactobacillaceae. The record is from RNAcentral.